Molecule: non-coding RNA, 2267 nt
Organism: Nelumbo nucifera (sacred lotus)
Lineage: Eukaryota; Viridiplantae; Streptophyta; Magnoliopsida; Proteales; Nelumbonaceae
Source: RefSeq, a predicted model, not a curated record
AUGAAUACUAAGAUAUUGAAGUCUAAUGUGUGCCCAAAUAUCAUAGACAAGUUAUAAGAUUUCUUAAGACAAUUCUAAAUCUACAUAUCUACAAUCACAUCAAUUAUAUUAGCAUAAAAAUUUGAUUGAAAGUCCAUUCUAAGGUUACAAUUAAUGAAUGAAGGUUGAAAGUCCAUUUUGAGGUUACAACUAAUAUCAACAUGAUAUAGCCAAACAUCACAAAUCUGCAUUUUUUGUGCGCUUAAUGUGGGUCUAGGCUAGAAUAAUAAAUCCUGAGAUGUAGGGGCCAAGUGACAUUUUCUUUUUUUUGUGCUUGGGUUACAAACCCAGGUGAUGUAUAUUUGGGCAUUAGUGAUUAGAUUGAUUAUGGUUUAUAGUCUAAUUUUUCAAUAAUGAAAGAUAUGGGAUUAUUAAAUUUUUUUGGUUUUCAAAAGGCAAGAAAGAAAUGGAAGACUUUACAUUUCUCCCCACUCCUAUUGCAUGUGCCUGCAACAAUUAGUAUUACAUUGAAACCUAUCUCUAUAGAUAGUUCUAUCCCCAUUUAUAAUGUGUGGACUUCGAAACUAACAACGUCCCCAAGGGGUCCGAGGAUAAAGCAGGAGUUAGACCUGAAUUUAUAAACAMAAGCCAAUAUCAUAUGCUUCUAGAUUGACUAAGUUGCAUCUAUCAAGGUUUAACUUGGUAAAACUUUCUUCAUGGAACCUCCUAUCAAAUGCACGCUAAUCCCUCCAAGUAGAGAUUUUUGCAACUAAUGCCCAAUUCCUCCCUAUAUCAUUAAUGAAAAAUUGUGAAAACAAACCUGAGCCAUUCAUCAAAUUUCUAUUAAGAAUACGAUCACUGGCGGUAGCCAAAUUUCUCUCAUUGUUAGUGAGUGCAAGACUUUUAUGAAGGAACCAUCCAAUUAAGCCUUAUAGGUAACCAAAUCUCUCUCCUUGUAAGUGAGUGCAAGAAUUUCACGAAGAAACCAUCCAAUUAAGCCUUCUAGGUAGCCAAAUCUCUCUCCUUUUUAAUUCGUGCACGACUUUCAUGAAGAAACCAUCCAAUUAAGCCUUGCAUAUAGAAAGCAAUGGAACAAAAGUUACCAAACCCAAAAGGAUUUAAUAUUAGCCACUUCUCGAAAGGGGCUAAUAUCAUGGUGGAUUUCAACCUUAAGCCUUUUAUCACACCAUCUGCAAUUCUCCUCCAAUCCCUUAAUGUUUUUUUAGUAACCACUAUGUACUUCCUCUCCCAAUCAACAAUGGCAACGUUGAUGGUUAAUUGGUUAUCCUAUCAUCACUUUUAAUAUGUCUUAAUGUCAAUAAUGCCCCCAUCAAAACAUCCUUUUCACCAUCUUAAAUCUAUGCACCACCAUCAUGUUAGGCUACCUAAACUAAGAGGACUAAGCAAUCCUCUCCCCGCCCCCUCCAAAGCAACUUAUUCACUAUUUCUUCCAAUAGUUUUAUCAAAACACCCAAAAAGUUGUGAAUGAUUUCAGAGAAAUAAGUGAAAGUAUAUGAUAUUCUUGAAGAACUCAAAAAAUAAAUUAUAUUAUUAGCCCUAGUUGUGAGAAAAACAGAGAUAUCGGAAUUCUUGAAGAACUCAAAGAAUAAGUUAUAUAAUUAGCCCUACUUGUGAGAAAAACAAAGAUGUCGACAUUAUUGAAGAACUCAAAAAAUAAAUUAUAUGAUUAGCCCUAACUGUGAGAAAAAUAGAGAUAUCGGCAUUCUUGAAGAACUCAGAAAAUAAAUAAUAUGACUAUCCCUAGCUGUAAAAGAGAGAUGUUACUGAAACAUAUGUCUAGAUUGAAGGAGAGAAGAAAAACAUUGUUACCUUCCUGAAGUGUUUGAGUCGAUUCAGAUGUAGCAAACUUAACCAAACUAAUGUGUAAAACUGUAAAGCUACCAUUAUCGGUAAUUCUAAUGAUAAAGCACUUGGAGUCAAACUUUAGAAGAGAGGACUUUUAUCUUGUGAAUCUCUUUUUCUCUUUUUGCUAAAUAUUUGCCAUCUUGUUUUAGUCUUAUAAGAAUCACUGUGUAACUUUCAAGUUAGAAAGGAGAAGGAAAGGAGACAAUUUAAUCUAAAGAAAACCCAGUUGACAUAAAACCUAAUUAAGAAAAGGGAAUAGAAUGAUCUCAUCGAUUGUGUAUAUAUAUUUUUACAUAGUAUUAUAUUUAUAGUAAUUUCAAAAGUAAACCCAUUUGAAACUAAAUAACGGAGAUCCAAAUAAAAGAAUAAGGCAGUGAACUAUCAUUAUAUUUCGUAGAGUUUUCAAUUUCCUUAGAGAUGGG